AGCCCAGCUCCCCAGCAGGCAGUGACCACUCAGGUGGAGGAAGAUGGAGUGGUGGGCUGGAAGGAAGGGGCCACGGGGGUGGCAGGAGAAAGGCUGCAAGGAAAGGUUUCACCUCAUGUUCCAAGUCACUGACGGCAUCACUGCUUGUUGCUGCUGUGACAGGCACACCAGCAGCAGCAGGGAGGAGAAACCAGUUUCAAGCACAGCAGCCUUGGAAUUGUGGCAUGACAGGAAGCUGACACAAAGUGUGAUCACAAUUUGUAUACAGCUAGCAGGUGUAGAUUGUGUCAAGACAAAGAUCCACCCCAUUCACUAAUCUGCCUUCUGGAAUUUGCCUGGGGAACAAAUGUUGUGCUCAUGCCAGAGAUUGCUAAGAAGCCAGACUUCAGUUAGUGAAACCCUCAGACACUGAAACAAGCACCACAGAAUAGUAAAAGGACACUGCAAAAUAGGGAAAUUCUGUAUAUGAAGCAAAACCAAAUCAUGUCUUGUGCUGAAGUGGAAAGGAGUCACCUGUGAAGAAAAUGUAACCUUGAAUUUUUUGUCUAUAUCACAAUACAUAACUAUCUUGACAUUUUCUACCCAUUGAACACUUCUGAGCCUUUAUAACGCUCUUUUAACGGUGUUUUUUCUUCUAAUUUAAUAAUAAAAGAAGCUUGUUGAGCUAAAGAAUUAGGUUGUACCUAAAGGUCAACUAAUAUACACUAAUAAAACUGUACAGAAUAU
Zonotrichia leucophrys gambelii is the source of this 726-nucleotide long non-coding RNA. RefSeq lists it as uncharacterized. NCBI's taxonomy places the organism in Eukaryota, Metazoa, Chordata, Aves, Passeriformes, Passerellidae. The transcript has 3 exons. The record is from RefSeq and is a predicted model, not a curated record.